GACGAACGCUGGCGGCGUGCCUAAUACAUGCAAGUAGAACGCUGAAGAGAGGAGCUUGCUCUUCUUGGAUGAGUUGCGAACGGGUGAGUAACGCGUAGGUAACCUGCCUUGUAGCGGGGGAUAACUAUUGGAAACGAUAGCUAAUACCGCAUAACAAUGGAUGACACAUGUCAUUUAUUUGAAAGGGGCAAUUGCUCCACUACAAGAUGGACCUGCGUUGUAUUAGCUAGUAGGUGAGGUAAUGGCUCACCUAGGCGACGAUACAUAGCCGACCUGAGAGGGUGAUCGGCCACACUGGGACUGAGACACGGCCCAGACUCCUACGGGAGGCAGCAGUAGGGAAUCUUCGGCAAUGGGGGCAACCCUGACCGAGCAACGCCGCGUGAGUGAAGAAGGUUUUCGGAUCGUAAAGCUCUGUUGUAAGUCAAGAACGGGUGUGAGAGUGGAAAGUUCACACUGUGACGGUAGCUUACCAGAAAGGGACGGCUAACUACGUGCCAGCAGCCGCGGUAAUACGUAGGUCCCGAGCGUUGUCCGGAUUUAUUGGGCGUAAAGCGAGCGCAGGCGGUUUGAUAAGUCUGAAGUUAAAGGCUGUGGCUCAACCAUAGUUCGCUUUGGAAACUGUCAAACUUGAGUGCAGAAGGGGAGAGUGGAAUUCCAUGUGUAGUGGUGAAAUGCGUAGAUAUAUGGAGGAACACCGGUGGCGAAAGCUGCUCUCUGGUCUGUAACUGACGCUGAGGCUCGAAAGCGUGGGGAGCGAACAGGAUUAGAUACCCUGGUAGUCCACGCCGUAAACGAUGAGUGCUAGGUGUUGGAUCCUUUCCGGGAUUCAGUGCCGCAGCUAACGCAUUAAGCACUCCGCCUGGGGAGUACGACCGCAAGGUUGAAACUCAAAGGAAUUGACGGGGGCCCGCACAAGCGGUAGAGCAUGUGGUUUAAUUCGAAGCAACGCGAAGAACCUUACCAGGUCUUGACAUCCCGAUGCUAUUUCUAGAGAUAGAAAGUUACUUCGGUACAUCGGUGACAGGUGGUGCAUGGUUGUCGUCAGCUCGUGUCGUGAGAUGUUGGGUUAAGUCCCGCAACGAGCGCAACCCCUAUUGUUAGUUGCCAUCAUUCAGUUGGGCACUCUAGCGAGACUGCCGGUAAUAAACCGGAGGAAGGUGGGGAUGACGUCAAAUCAUCAUGCCCCUUAUGACCUGGGCUACACACGUGCUACAAUGGUUGGUACAACGAGUUGCGAGUCGGUGACGGCGAGCUAAUCUCUUAAAGCCAAUCUCAGUUCGGAUUGUAGGCUGCAACUCGCCUACAUGAAGUCGGAAUCGCUAGUAAUCGCGGAUCAGCACGCCGCGGUGAAUACGUUCCCGGGCCU
RNAcentral lists this ribosomal RNA (1369 nucleotides) under uncultured bacterium. RNAcentral's name for it is "bacterial SSU rRNA". It matches the Rfam family "Bacterial small subunit ribosomal RNA", at positions 28 to 1381 of the family's 1533-position model. The record is from RNAcentral.